This 415-nucleotide ribosomal RNA is filed under the name uncultured crenarchaeote. Its description in RNAcentral is "partial 16S ribosomal RNA". It matches the Rfam family "Archaeal small subunit ribosomal RNA", at positions 330 to 747 of the family's 1478-position model. The record is from RNAcentral. Lineage: Archaea; Thermoproteati; Thermoproteota.
GUGCACCAGGCGCGAAACCUCCGCAAUGCGCGAAAGCGUGACGGGGCCACCCCGAGUGCCAUCCGCUAAGGACGGCUUUUACCCAGUGUAAUAAGCUGGGGGAAUAAGGGGAGGGCAAGUCUGGUGUCAGCCGCCGCGGUAAUACCAGCUCCCCGAGUGGUAGGGACGAUUAUUUGGCUUAAAGCGUCCGUAGCUGGCUUAGCAAGUCUUCGGUUAAAUCCGACGAUGCAAUCGCCGGGCCGCCGGAGAUACUGCUAGGCUAGGGGGCGGGAGAGGCCGGCGGUAGUCUCGGGGUAGGGGUGAAAUCCUAUAAUCCCGGGAGGACCACCAGUGGCGAAGGCGGUCGGCUAGAACGCGCCUGACAGUGAGGGACGAAAGCUGGGGGAGCGAACCGGAUUAGAUACCCGGGUAGUCC